Molecule: ribosomal RNA, 428 nt
Filed under: uncultured bacterium
Lineage: Bacteria
Description: partial 16S ribosomal RNA
Rfam family: Bacterial small subunit ribosomal RNA
Source: RNAcentral
GUAGGGAAUAUUGCGCAAUGGACGAAAGUCUGACGCAGCGACGCCGCGUGAGUGAUGAAGGCCUUAGGGUCGUAAAGCUCUGUUGAAUGGGAAGAAAAAAAUGACGGUACCAUUCGAGGAAGGACCGGCUAACUUCGUGCCAGCAGCCGCGGUAAUACGAGGGGUCCUAGCGUUGUUCGGAAUCAUUGGGCUUAAAGGGUGUGUAGGUGGCCAUGUAAGUCAGGUGUGAAAGCCCCGGGCUCAACCCGGGAAGUGCACUUGAUACUGCGUGGCUUGAGUACCGAAGAGGGUAGUGGAAUUCCAGGUGUAGUGGUGAAAUACGUAGAUAUCUGGAGGAACACCGGUGGCGAAGGCGGCUACCUGGUCGAGUACUGACACUGAGACACGAAAGCAUGGGGAUCAAACAGGAUUAGAUACCCGAGUAGUCC